RNAcentral lists this transfer RNA (77 nucleotides) under Thermoproteus uzoniensis 768-20. Its description in RNAcentral is "tRNA-Pro (TGG) (tRNA-Pro-TGG-1-1)". It matches the Rfam family "tRNA". Rfam says of the family: Transfer RNA (tRNA) molecules are approximately 80 nucleotides in length. The record is from RNAcentral. Lineage: Archaea; Thermoproteati; Thermoproteota; Thermoprotei; Thermoproteales; Thermoproteaceae. RNAcentral also lists the same sequence under 1 other name.
GGGGCCGUAGUCGAGCCUGGUAAGAUGCGCGGCUUGGGCCCGCGAGAUCCCGGGUUCAAAUCCCGGCGGCCCCACCA